Molecule: ribosomal RNA, 403 nt
Filed under: Verrucomicrobiota bacterium
Lineage: Bacteria; Pseudomonadati; Verrucomicrobiota
Description: Verrucomicrobia bacterium partial 16S ribosomal RNA
Rfam family: Bacterial small subunit ribosomal RNA
Source: RNAcentral
UGGGGAAUAUUGCACAAUGGGGGAAACCCUGAUGCAGCGACGCCGCGUGAGCGAAGAAGGUUUUCGAAUCGUAAAGCUCUGUCCUAUGAGAAGAUAAUGACGGUAUCAUAGGAGGAAGCCCCGGCUAAAUACGUGCCAGCAGCCGCGGUAAUACGUAUGGGGCGAGCGUUGUCCGGAAUUAUUGGGCGUAAAGGGUACGUAGGCGGUCUAUUAAGUCAGGUGUGAAAGCGUGAGGCUUAACCUCAUUAAGCACUUGAAACUGAUAGACUUGAGUGAAGGAGAGGAAAGUGGAAUUCCUAGUGUAGCGGUGAAAUGCGUAGAUAUUAGGAGGAAUACCGGUGGCGGAGGCGACUUUCUGGACUUUUACUGACGCUCAGGUACGAAAGCGUGGGGAGCAAACAGG